RNAcentral lists this long non-coding RNA (413 nucleotides) under Salmo salar (Atlantic salmon). Its description in RNAcentral is "lncRNA (ENSSSAG00000093556.1)". The record is from RNAcentral. Lineage: Eukaryota; Metazoa; Chordata; Actinopteri; Salmoniformes; Salmonidae.
AGACCCGUUUUUGCUGGACCCCCGAGGCUAACAGGGCAUUCAUGGAGCUCAAGAAAACGAAUCCCUUUUGUGUCCCUCACUGCCACAGAUGACCCAGCCUGACAUGAAACAUGUCGACCCAGCUUUGCUGUAGUAUCCUGACUGGAAAGGCCACCACUUGUUGUGGUGAUGAAUGGCUGUGGCUCCCUCUUCUCAUCUAUAGCCGCAGUGCUUUGUGACCUGCAAGAUGCAAUCCUUAUUUCAACGCCAUUCUAUAGUGGUCACUGAGGAUGUGCAUCUCUACAGUGGUGUUCGGCUCUUCUAUGUUCAUCUCGACUGUGAGGGGGUGAAUGUCAAGAGUCGUGAUCCUGGUGAACCCCCAUAACCCCCUGGCUGAGGUCCACUCCCCGUCAGGACUGGCUUCUUGGAGUUUG